RNAcentral lists this ribosomal RNA (496 nucleotides) under uncultured bacterium. RNAcentral's name for it is "partial 16S ribosomal RNA". It matches the Rfam family "Bacterial small subunit ribosomal RNA", at positions 28 to 507 of the family's 1533-position model. The record is from RNAcentral.
GAUGAACGCUGGCGGCGUGCCUAAUACAUGCAAGUCGAGCGAACAGACGAGGAGCUUGCUCCUCUGACGUUAGCGGCGGACGGGUGAGUAACACGUGGAUAACCUACCUAUAAGACUGGGAUAACUUCGGGAAACCGGAGCUAAUACCGGAUAAUAUAUUGAACCGCAUGGUUCAAUAGUGAAAGACGGUUUUGCUGUCACUUAUAGAUGGAUCCGCGCCGCAUUAGCUAGUUGGUAAGGUAACGGCUUACCAAGGCAACGAUGCGUAGCCGACCUGAGAGGGGGAUCGGCCACACUGGAACGGAGCCACGGUCAAGACUCCUACGGGAGGCAGCAGUAGGGAAUCUUCCGCAAUGGGCGAAGCCUGACGGAGCAACGCCGCGUGAGUGAUGAAGGUCUUCGGAUCGUAAAACUCUGUUAUUAGGGAAGAACAAAUGUGUAAGUAACUAUGCACGUCUUGACGGUACCUAAUCAGAAAGCCACGGCUAACUACGUG